GGGCGCAUGGUCUAGAGGUAUGAUUCUUCUUUAGGGCUGGGCUUGACCAGAACAUAGAAGAGGUCCUGGGUUCGAUUCCCAGUGCGCCCC
Molecule: transfer RNA, 90 nt
Filed under: Malassezia brasiliensis
Lineage: Eukaryota; Fungi; Basidiomycota; Malasseziomycetes; Malasseziales; Malasseziaceae
Description: tRNA-Pro
Rfam family: tRNA
About the family: Transfer RNA (tRNA) molecules are approximately 80 nucleotides in length. Their secondary structure includes four short double-helical elements and three loops (D, anti-codon, and T loops). Further hydrogen bonds mediate the characteristic L-shaped molecular structure. tRNAs have two regions of fundamental functional importance: the anti-codon, which is responsible for specific mRNA codon recognition, and the 3' end, to which the tRNAs corresponding amino acid is attached (by aminoacyl-tRNA synthetases). tRNAs cope with the degeneracy of the genetic code in two manners: having more than one tRNA (with a specific anti-codon) for a particular amino acid; and 'wobble' base-pairing, i.e. permitting non-standard base-pairing at the 3rd anti-codon position.
Source: RNAcentral